AUACGUAGGGUGCGAGCGUUAAUCGGAAUUACUGGGCGUAAAGCGUGCGCAGGCGGUUUUGUAAGACAGAUGUGAAAUCCCCGGGCUCAACCUGGGAACUGCGUUUGUGACUGCAAGGCUAGAGUGCGGCAGAGGGGGGUGGAAUUCCACGGGUAGCAGGGAAAUGCGUAGGGAUGUGGAGGAACACCGAUGGCGAAGGCAGCCCCCUGGGUCGUAACUGACGCUCAUGCACGAAAGCGUGGGGAGCAAACAGGAUUAGAUACCCUGGUAGUCCACGCCCUAAACGAUGUCGACUAGUUGUUCGGAAGGUUAUCUUCUGGGUAACGCAGCUAACGCGUGAAGUCGACCGCCUGGGGAGUACGGUCGCAAGAUUAAAACUCAAAGGAAUUGGCGGGG
RNAcentral lists this ribosomal RNA (396 nucleotides) under uncultured bacterium. Its description in RNAcentral is "partial 16S ribosomal RNA". It matches the Rfam family "Bacterial small subunit ribosomal RNA", at positions 523 to 918 of the family's 1533-position model. The record is from RNAcentral.